ACGAAGCACGACGUAAAUAUUACGAUUCCUAUCUCGUGAUCUUAAAAGCUUGAUUUAAGAGGCAGAUAAUACUGUUUUAAAAGGGGGAGGGGAAAUCAUUGCAACAAAAAAGUUGGGGGAAAGAGGCAAGAAGUAAUCCAAGCGAACGGUGUGACUACUUUGUUUUAGAAAUUAGCGUCAAGUUUGGCAAGAGCACACUAUUCCCUCGGUGUCAUCAAUCGAUGCUGCCUGACCUGCUGAGUUCCUCCAGCAUUUUGUGUGCGUUGUUAAUAACACUGAAAAUGGUAUUUCAGGUGUAUUAAGGCGAUCAAAUUACAGGUGCUUUAUUGAAAAGCAAAUCAAUGCAAUAGCUGGAGAUAUAACAUAAAACUCUUCGGAAAUACUCA
Molecule: long non-coding RNA, 386 nt
Organism: Mobula hypostoma (lesser devil ray)
Lineage: Eukaryota; Metazoa; Chordata; Chondrichthyes; Myliobatiformes; Myliobatidae
Exons: 3
Source: RefSeq, a predicted model, not a curated record